Molecule: ribosomal RNA, 406 nt
Filed under: uncultured bacterium
Lineage: Bacteria
Description: partial 16S ribosomal RNA
Rfam family: Bacterial small subunit ribosomal RNA
Source: RNAcentral
AUUGAACGCUGGCGGCAGGCCUAACACAUGCAAGUCGAACGAGUGGCGGACGGGUGAGUAAUGUCUGGGAAACUGCCCGCUGGAGGGGGAUAACUACUGGAAACGGUAGCUAAUACCGCAUACCAUCGGAUGUGCCCAGUUGGGAUUAGCUAGUAGGGGGGGUAACGGCUCACCUAGGCGACGAUCCCUAGCUGGUCUGAGAGGAUGACCAGCCACACUGGAACGGAGACACGGCCCAGACUCCGACGGUAGGCAGCAGUGGGGAAUAUUGCACAAGGGGAGAAAGCCUGAUGCAGCCAUGCCGCGUGUAUGAAGAGGGCCUUCGGGUUGUAAAGUACUUUCAGCGAGGAGGCGGUACUCGCAGAAGAAGCACCGGCUAACUCCGUGCCAGCAGCCGCGGUAAUUC